AUGCCGCUAACAUAUACAGUAUUUUACUUCUUUGAUCAACUAUUUCUAAGGAUAAGUUACAGAAUACAAAUGCAUUAUGCUCUACUUCUUCAAACCAAUUGCUACUUUUUAAUAUCAAAUGCAGAACCAACAUUCCCUUCCCUUCCCUUCUCCCCUUUUUUUCCCUUUUCCCCUUUUUUCCCCCUUUUCCAUUUCCCUCCCCCCCCUCCCUCCCUCCCUUUCUUCCCACUCCUUCCUUUCUUCCCACUCCUUCCUUCCUCCCUCCCUCCCUCCCUCCCUCCCUCCCUCUCUCCCUAUCAGCCUGGCUCUCACGCUGUUGCCCAGAUGCCCGUCUUCCUUUUCCCACACCUCCAUGCUCUGCCCACAUCCCACUGUUUGGCUGCAUCUCCCUGCGGAUGUCCCGCCCCACAGCCCCACUCACAGCCGCCAUCCCCGGAGCUCUGCCCUCCCCCAGUCACUCCCCCACCUCCCCAGGAGAUCCCUGAGGGCUCUCCGUUCCCCCCCCACCCUUCUUCACCCCCCGCUGCCCCUCGAGCCCCACUCGGGCUUCCGGCCGUGCGUGCAGGCCGCGCUGCCACGGCGACAGCGCGCCCUCCCUCCUUGCGGCGCGGGAAGCCGUCCCCGCGGCGACAGCGCAUGCGCGGCGGCGUCUCCAUAGCAACGGCGCCCCGGCGCGUCCGUUGCUCGAGCGACGCGCCGUCCCCGCUGAGUGACGUCAUCACCUCGCGACCCGUGGACGCGGCCAUGCGGAAGUGGAGCGGGGCUCCGCGCUGCUCCAGCGCCGCGGCGCAGCCCCGGGACUCCGAGUGCCGCCUCAGCUUCUACGAAAGGAUCUGCAGAAGUCCUAGAGAGGUUUGGGUCAUCCAGGAGGUUCAGGACUCAACCAGAAGAGUCUGGAGAUGUCCCAGAUGGAUUGUGUCCUGUUGUGGGGAAGCGUCGCAGACAGAAAGCUGCUGUGUGGAGCCCCACACGACGAGCUGCAGAGGCCGCUGA
Molecule: long non-coding RNA, 993 nt
Filed under: Phasianus colchicus (ring-necked pheasant)
Lineage: Eukaryota; Metazoa; Chordata; Aves; Galliformes; Phasianidae
Description: lncRNA (ENSPCLG00000016576.1)
Source: RNAcentral